Molecule: ribosomal RNA, 579 nt
Filed under: uncultured Alphaproteobacteria bacterium
Lineage: Bacteria; Pseudomonadati; Pseudomonadota; Alphaproteobacteria
Description: bacterial SSU rRNA
Rfam family: Bacterial small subunit ribosomal RNA
Source: RNAcentral
GGCGGCAGGCUUAACACAUGCAAGUCGAGCGCCUCGCAAGAGGAGCGGCAGACGGGUGAGUAACACGUGGGAAUCUACCCAUCCUUACGGAACAACUCCGGGAAACUGGAGCUAAUACCGUAUACGCCCUUCGGGGGAAAGAUUUAUCGAGGAUGGAUGAGCCCGCGUUGGAUUAGCUAGUUGGUGGGGUAAAGGCCUACCAAGGCGACGAUCCAUAGCUGGUCUGAGAGGAUGAUCAGCCACAUUGGGACUGAGACACGGCCCAAACUCCUACGGGAGGCAGCAGUGGGGAAUAUUGGACAAUGGGCGCAAGCCUGAUCCAGCCAUGCCGCGUGAGUGAUGAAGGCCCUAGGGUUGUAAAGCUCUUUCACCGGAGAAGAUAAUGACGGUAUCCGGAGAAGAAGCCCCGGCUAACUUCGUGCCAGCAGCCGCGGUAAUACGAAGGGGGCUAGCGUUGUUCGGAUUUACUGGGCGUAAAGCGCACGUAGGCGGAUCGAUCAGUCAGGGGUGAAAUCCCAGAGCUCAACUCUGGAACUGCCUUUGAUACUGUCGAUCUGGAGUAUGGAAGAAGUGAGUGGA